Molecule: ribosomal RNA, 497 nt
Filed under: uncultured bacterium
Lineage: Bacteria
Description: partial 16S ribosomal RNA
Rfam family: Bacterial small subunit ribosomal RNA
Source: RNAcentral
GAUGAACGCUGGCGGCGUGCCUAAUACAUGCAAGUCGAGCGAACAGACGAGGAGCUUGCUCCUCUGACGUUAGCGGCGGACGGGUGAGUAACACGUGGAUAACCUACCUAUAAGACUGGGAUAACUUCGGGAAACCGGAGCUAAUACCGGAUAAUAUAUUGAACCGCAUGGUUCAAUAGUGAAAGACGGUUUUGCUGUCACUUAUAGAUGGAUCCGCGCCGCAUUAGCUAGUUGGUAAGGUAACGGCUUACCAAGGCGACGAUGCGUAGCCGACCUGAGAGGGUGAUCGGCCACACUGGAACUGAGACACGGUACAGACUCCUACGGGAGGCAGCAGUAGGGAAUCUUCCGCAAUGGGCGAAAGCCUGACGGAGCAACGCCGCGUGAGUGAUGAAGGUCUUCGGAUCGUAAAACUCUGUUAUUAGGGAAGAACAAAUGUGUAAGUAACUAUGCACGUCUUGACGGUACCUAAUCAGAAAGCCACGGCUAACUACGUG